UCGUGUUUCAUUUUCCGAAUGGAUAGUUAUUUACGAAGGUAUUAUUUAUUAUUGUGCAAAUAUCAUAGAUAUCAUAUGAGUAUCAUAACUUUUAGAAUAAAUUAUGGAAACAGGCCACAAGGCCACGUGCAAAAAUCAGGCAUCAGAAACUGUCCACGCGCGCGCCGCUGCGGCUCGAGCUGCAUCGAUUCGUUUUCGAGCACAGGUCGAGGCAUUUGUGCCCUUUCUUCCGAUCUCAUAUUUCGUCGUGAUCCCAUACUCUGUGAUGUAAGAUCUCAUAAGACAGCUCAUUUAACAGAACACGUGAUCUUUCGCUGACGCGUUUAGAACAUGUAUUCAUAAAGAACUGCAGCAAAUCAUGCACAGUCAGCAUUCCUUCGUUAUCAUCAGAUAUAUACCUAGGCCAGUUCUUGAUGCCCGCUGCGUAAACCGAUAAUGUCGGUUGAGUUUGGCCGCUGCCAUAUGGAGGUGGGAUAUCGUUAAGUUCUGCAUCAACGAUUCCGAUCUUUAACCAACCUCUCGUCUUAGGAUUAUUAUCGAAAAGUUCCUGAACCUUAUUCAGAGCUGGCAUCAACGAUUGGUGGAACGCCCGUCUGGACUUUGGAAAAGCGACGUAAACGACGGAGUCUUCAUCAGCGUUAUCGAUGAAAACCUCAUAAAAAUUACUUGCGACGGCAUGAAAAAGCCCGUAUUUCUUGCUGUUUUUUGGAGG
RNAcentral lists this long non-coding RNA (712 nucleotides) under Micromonas commoda. Its description in RNAcentral is "long non-coding RNA (MCOM_LNC000054)". Lineage: Eukaryota; Viridiplantae; Chlorophyta; Mamiellophyceae; Mamiellales; Mamiellaceae. The record is from RNAcentral.